ACGAAAAAUAACGAUACGGGACUCAUCCGAGGCCCCGUAAUCGGAAUGAGUACACUCUAAACCCUUUAACGAGGAUCAAUUGGAGGGCAAGUCUGGUGCCAGCAGCCGCGGUAAUUCCAGCUCCAAUAGCGUAUAUUAAAGUUGUUGCGGUUAAAAAGCUCGUAGUCGAAUUUGUGUCCCGCGCCGCCGGUUCAUCGCUCGCGGUGUCAACUGGCGUGUCCGCGGGACGUCCUGCCGGUGGGCUUAGCCCGAUCCCCGGGCGGCCCAAUCUCAAUCCCACCGCGGUGCUCUUCACUGAGUGUCGAGGUGGGCCGGCACGUUUACUUUGAACAAAUUAGAGUGCUUAAAGCAGGCUAAAACAUCGCCUGAAUACUGUGUGCAUGGAAUAAUGGAAUAGGACCUCGGUUCUAUUUUGUUGGUUUUCGGAACCCCGAGGUAAUGAUUAAUAGGAACGGAUGGGGGCAUUCGUAUUGCGACGUUAGAGGUGAAAUUCUUGGAUCGUCGCAAGACGGACAGAAGCGAAAGCAUUUGCCAAAAACGCUUUCAUUGAUCAAGAACGAAAGUUAGAGGUUCGAAGGCGAUCAGAUACCGCCCUAGUUCUAACCAUAAACGAUGCCAGCUAGCGAUCCGCCGACGUUCCUCCGAUGACUCGGCGGGCAGCUUCCGGGAAACCAAAGCUUUUGGGUUCCGGGGGAAGUAUGGUUGCAAAGCUGAAACUUAAAGGAAUUGACGGAAGGGCACCACCAGGAGUGGAGCCUGCGGCUUAAUUUGACUCAACACGGGAAACCUCACCAGGCCCGGACACCGGAAGGAUUGACAGAUUGAGAGC
RNAcentral lists this ribosomal RNA (829 nucleotides) under Dichotomius sp. sp123. RNAcentral describes it as "SSU rRNA". It matches the Rfam family "Eukaryotic small subunit ribosomal RNA", at positions 470 to 1255 of the family's 1831-position model. The record is from RNAcentral. Lineage: Eukaryota; Metazoa; Arthropoda; Insecta; Coleoptera; Scarabaeidae.